CGUCUAACGCAUGUUAGACGGGACAAAAAUGGCGGAAUUUCGGCGCGAGCCGGAAUGCUAUUGCUGGAGGAGGGGCUUGCGUCCUAUCAGCUAGUUGGUAGGGUAAUGGCCUACCAAGGCUUUUGACGGGUAGUUGGACUGAGAGGUCGACCAACCACACGGGGACUGAGACACGGCCCUGACUCCUACGGGAGGCAGCAGUCGAGAAUCUUUCGCAAUGGGCGAAAGCCUGACGAAGCGACGCCGCGUGCGCGAUGAAGUCUUUCGGGAUGUAAAGCGCUGUUAGUUCGGAUUAAGCCCCGAUUCAAAAAUAUUGUUUUCGGGGGGACUGUAUGAGC
This 338-nucleotide ribosomal RNA is filed under the name uncultured bacterium. RNAcentral's name for it is "bacterial SSU rRNA". It matches the Rfam family "Bacterial small subunit ribosomal RNA", at positions 180 to 482 of the family's 1533-position model. The record is from RNAcentral.